ACAGUUCCGCCUGCACUGCAGUUUCCUAACCACUUUAAACCUCUUUUUUUUUUCUUUUUUUAAUCUCAGUUUGGUUUGAUUCAGGCAACCUGGAUGAGGGACCCCCUGCGGGGUCAGCCCGACUUGGGUGGGAUUUUGCUAAGGGAGAGGGGAGAAGAUGACGUGCUUGGCGCCAUGAUCGGAAGUCUGGGUUUAAUUCUUUAACUGCGAGGUGGAAGAAUUCCGUGGGAGGGCGAUCUUAAGAGGUGAAGUCUAGCCCUCCCUUCUCCUAGUCUGCAGAAAGGUUGUUCUGAAGGCUGGUUUUGCCGGUCUUUCAUUGUGGCUAAGGGCAGUUCCAGGAUACAUUCAUAAACACACUCCUCGAGCCCUACCGUUCGCUUGCUUAUUCAAGCCUCCUUUUAUCUCUUUAUCUGAACGUGAUGUUAAUAAAUCACAUUCCUUAAACUGGUUUCUGUUAUCAUAGUAAAUAUCUGCUAUAAUUAAGAGUUGUGGUAAUACCUGCCCAGGGCCCUUUUUUAGCUGAAAUAUUUUUAUACUGUUUAUCCUUCAGGCAGAGAUAUUUUUUAUAUACAUAUAAUAAAAUACCUUUUGAAAAAUAAGGAGCAUAUGCAUUAACUCUUUAGCUUGAAUGCCAUAUUUUGUUUUGCCUAAAAGGCCUAAAAUAAGGAACUGGUACUGUUUUAACAUUUAGCUUUCAAGACAUGAGAUCUAGUUGUCAAGGAAAUGACAGAUGUUGAAGGUGCAGGAAGUUUAUUAGCUGAUGAAAUACAAUUUUUCUUCCUCGAAUUGAGGUCAAGUACUUUAUUAUUCAAUUAUUAUUUGCAUAAAAUGUUCCUAAGAAACAUUAAGUACCCUUAUACAUGUUAUAAAUGCAUAAUAAAUUAUGUAGGAAAGAAGUCUUAGGAAAUUCAUGUGGAAAAAGUUCAUGCCACUAACUUAGCUGGAAUCAGCAGACCUCGAUUUGCAUGCAACCCUCAUUCCUUUUCUGUUGCCUUUACAGUCGAGAUGUGACUAUUUCCAGUGAGAAAGAACAUAUAGAAGAAUUAAAACUUAGCAAUACACAAGAAAGGCAAUACUGGUCUAAUUCUGGUGAAAGCAGAACUCAGAGGGCAGUGUGAUCUGGUCUGGUCUCUUUGGUGAUCAAGAUGGGCUGCAUUGUAAUAAUAUUCCACAAAUCCUCAUUAUUAGUUUAUUGAGGCAAAAAUUUAUUUAUCCUGUUUUGUGUUUGAUAGGAGCAUCAGUCAGCCAAUCAUGGGGUUUGUAUGCAGUUUAAGAAUAUCUCUGGACUGGUGAGAUGGCUCCGCGGGAAAGAGCACCGACUGCUCUUCGGAAGAUCAUGAGUUCAAAUCCCAGCAACCACAUGGUGGCUUACAACCACCCAUAAUGAGAUCUGACGCCCUCGUCUGGGACUGACCCCUGAAGCUAAAUUAUCAAGAUUCCUUUGCUUACUGACUUCUAAGUAAGCUGAAGUGGGGUUUGAUGGUUCGAAUGAAAAGUGACCUCCAUAGAGUCUGAUAUUUCAAUCCAGUCAGUGGCACUGUUUGGUGAAGUUUAGGAGGCACAGCCUUGCUGGAGGAAAUCCGUCACUAGUGGAUGGAGGUUGCGAUUAUACAACCUUGCUCCACUUCCAGUUUGAUCUCCUGCUUCGAGCUUGUGGACAGACAUGGCCACCCAGCCUCCUGCUUCUGCCUGCCACAGUGCCUGCCCUUUACUGCAACAUCUCCUCCCCACAAUGGACUCUUCUAUCUCUAGAACCAAACAGUCUGAAUAAACUCUUCUUUUUAUGA
Long non-coding RNA from Mastomys coucha (southern multimammate mouse), 1787 nucleotides. RefSeq lists it as uncharacterized. The transcript is spliced from 2 exons. NCBI's taxonomy places the organism in Eukaryota, Metazoa, Chordata, Mammalia, Rodentia, Muridae. The record is from RefSeq and is a predicted model, not a curated record.